GAGAAGAUGGCCGAGUGGUUUAUGGCGCUAGACUGUAAAUCUAGUGAUUUUUAUCUUCACAAGUUCGAAUCUUGUUCUUCUCA
RNAcentral lists this transfer RNA (83 nucleotides) under Prasinococcus sp. CCMP1194. RNAcentral describes it as "tRNA-Tyr". It matches the Rfam family "tRNA". From Rfam's summary of the family: Transfer RNA (tRNA) molecules are approximately 80 nucleotides in length. Their secondary structure includes four short double-helical elements and three loops (D, anti-codon, and T loops). Lineage: Eukaryota; Viridiplantae; Prasinodermophyta; Palmophyllophyceae; Prasinococcales; Prasinococcaceae. The record is from RNAcentral.